CCCUUAGAUGUUCUGGGCUGCACGCGUGCUACAAUGGCGCUUGCAACAAGUCUUGCCAACCCGAUAGGGUGAGCGGAUCUUUGAAGAGGCGUCGUGAUCGGGACAGUUGAUUGCAAUUAUUCGACUCGAACGAGGAAUUCCUUGUAAUCGCGAUUCAUCAUAUCGCGCUGAAUACGUCCCUGCCCUUUGUACACACCGCCCGUCGCUCCUACCGAUUGAAUGUUCCGGUGAGCUCUUCGGACUGCGCGGUCUGCAGUUUCUGCGUUCCGUGCGGAAAGUUGCGCAAACCUUAACAUUUAGAGGAAGGAGAAGUCGUAACA
This 320-nucleotide ribosomal RNA is filed under the name uncultured eukaryote. RNAcentral's name for it is "partial 18S ribosomal RNA". It matches the Rfam family "Eukaryotic small subunit ribosomal RNA", at positions 1470 to 1796 of the family's 1831-position model. The record is from RNAcentral.